This 253-nucleotide ribosomal RNA is filed under the name uncultured bacterium. RNAcentral's name for it is "partial 16S ribosomal RNA". It matches the Rfam family "Bacterial small subunit ribosomal RNA", at positions 524 to 776 of the family's 1533-position model. The record is from RNAcentral.
UACGAAGGGAGCUAGCGUUGUUCGGAAUCACUGGGCGUAAAGCGCACGUAGGCGGAUGUGUCAGUCAGGGGUGAAAUCCCGGAGCUCAACUUCGGAACUGCCUUUGAUACAGCACGUCUUGAGUCCGAUAGAGGUGGGUGGAAUUCCUAGUGUAGAGGUGAAAUUCGUAGAUAUUAGGAGGAACACCAAUAGCGAAGGCAGCUCGCUGGGACGGUACUGACGCUAAGGCGCGAAAGCGUGGGGAGCGAACAGG